UUUCAUUUGGGUCUUUCAAAAUUCAUUUUGCUUCGAUGUAGUGGGUGCUUUCAAUCAUUUUAUUCAGGCUUCUGAGAAGCUCUGAGACAAAUUUAUGAUCCAUCACUGAAAUAUUAUACAAGCUGGAGCUGAGGCCUGACUGCAGUUGCACUGCCGCGAUAACUCCCACUGUUGGAUCAAUGGCUGGCAAGAUUCCACCGUCAAAGGAGCUCCAAGCAGCAACGCAAGAGGCCCCAGUGCACUGUUCUCUCCUGGACCCUGGAAGAAGGAAAGAAUAGGAGAAGAAGGUCCUGGAAGUGGAAGUGGCAAGGGGAUUUUCUCUGGGACUUCUUUCUAGGAUCGUCGUGCAGGAUCCAUUUUUAAGGUGUAUCGUGCAGGAUCUGUUUUAUUCAACCCAUCUUACGUUCAGUGAGCCACUGGUUCUUCCUGGGGCGCUCAUCAGUUAUACCACCACUUUAUAAUCUUCAGCUGCUUCCCAUUGUUGUCUUUAAAAAGUUUAGACUUCUUACCCUGAAAAUCACCAGGCUUCCCAGACUUUAAUGUACACACCCAUCACCUGGGGAUCUUGUUAAACUGCAGUUCUGAUUCAACAGUCCUGAGGGGUGGCCUGGGAUUCCAUGUGUGUAGUAAGCUUCCAGUGGCCUAUACUUGGAGGAGCAAGGCUCUAAACAUUGGUUCUCAAACUUGAACUUGCAUUAGAAUCGCUGGAGGGUUUGUUAAAAGAGAGGUUCUUGGCCCCGCCCCCAGAGUUUCCGAUUCGGUAGGUCCAGGGUGGGACCUGAGAAUUUGCAUUUCCAGACGUUCCCAGGUGAUGCUGAGGCUGCUGACCCAGGCAGCACAAUUUGAGAAUCAUUGCUUAGAGUAAUGGUUCUCAAAUCUGGCUGCACAUACGUAUUAUCUAAAUAAAAAUGAGGAGAUUUAAAAACAUGGAUUCUCACCUCUGACUCAGAUUCAUGAGAUCAGAAUUUCUGGGGAUAAGGCCCCAGCAUCGAAAUCUUUCUUCACUCCUUAAGUGAUUUUUUUCAAUAUGGAUUGAGAACCAUUGCUCUAAAGCAUGGUUUUCAGCACAAUUUCCGUACAGUGUAUAGAUAGGAAAAUAAGACUAUCCCCUUAGCCCCAAAUUUGCUUUGUACUGCUGUAUUCCAGAACUUUGGAUUAAACUGGUUUUUCCUCCCUGAAAUAUCCUUCCUUAUGCACUGUCAAAACCCCAUCUGUCUUUCAUGGUUUAUCUCAAAUCCCAUCUCUUUCAUGAGGCCUUUCUCCAGGUCUGCAGCCAGCUGAGAGCUCUGUUCCUUGAGCUUUCUAAUUCCAGUCACGAUUGAAAUGCUUGGCCAGGCACAGUGGCUCAUGCCUGUAAUCCCAACACUUUGGGAGGCCGAUGCAGGAGGAUCAUGAGGUCAGGAGAUUGAGACCAACCUGACUAACACAGUGAAACCCCAUCUCUACUAAAUAUACAAAAAAUUAGCAGAGUGUGGUGGCAGGCGCCUGUAGUCCCAGUUACUCGGGAGGCUGAGGCGGGAGAAUGGCAUGAACCCGCAAGACAGAGCUUGCAGUGAGCCGAGAUGGCGCCACUGCACUCUAGCCUGGGUGACAGAGCAAGACGCCAUCUCAAAAAAAAAAAAAAAGAAAGAAAAAGAAAUGCUCACCUCCCUCAUUUUGUCCCUCCUUCCUGUUCCCAGAAUCAUCCUGGGCAGCCUCUUUUGUAAAACCUACGCCCAUACUAGGUUUAUAUGUGUGUCCUUUGACCUUGCCCCACCAGCUUGCAAACGACUCACAGGCAGGAACUGUACCUCAUUCAUCUUGCUUGUCCUUCCCGAAGUGCAUUGUCCUAUCCUAGAAGGAAGUCCCUCACUUAGUACCUAUUGAGUUGCUUUGUGCCUCUGUGGCCCUGGACAUACACUUUCUUUCAUAAUAUCCACCAUUUGUGUAGUUGCCCUAACCUUCUCUAGAAGGUAUAAUCUGCUUGAGUGGAGGGACUACGCCAUGCACAUCUUUACAUCCUCACAUCCCUCUACCCUCAAUACACACUCCUUUUUAGGUUCUUGCUAUUCAAAAUGUGGUCCACGAACCAACUGCAUUGGUAUCACCUGCAGCUUGUUAGACAUGCAGUCUCUCAGGCCCCGCCCAGAUCUACUGAAUCAGAAUCUGCAUUUUAACAAGGUCUCAAAGUGAUAUGUGAACUCAUUAAAGUUAGAGAGGAACUGGGCACCGUGGGUCAGGCCUGUUAUCCCAGUGCUUUGGGAGGCUGAGUUGGGAGGAUCGCUUGAGACCAGGAGUUCAAGGCCAGCCUGGGCAACACAGUAAGACCGCGUCUCUACAACAAAUUUGCCGGGCAUGGUGGUACAUGCCUGUAGUCCCAGCUAUUAACACUUGGGAAGCUGAGGUGGGAGAAUCACUUGAGCCCAGAAGGUCCAGGCUGCAGUGAGCCAAGAUUGCACCACUUCACACCAGCCUGGGUGACACAGCAAGACCUUUCUCAAAAGUAAAAUUAAAUUAAAUUAAAAAGUUAGAGAGGCACUUCUUUGGGAGGUGACAUAGUAAAAUAUUUAAGAGAAUAUGUCCUGGACUCAGACUAUUAAGCUUGGGCGAGUUGUGUAAACUCUCUAUACCACAGUUUUCCCAUCUGUAAAGUGAGAAUAUUAACAGUCCUCACCUCAUGGUGAUGUGGAAACGUUAACUAAAGUAAUGUGUAAGUAAAACACUGAGAACAUUAUAAGCACUCAAUAAUACAGUAUCAACUAUUAUUACUCAAUUAAAACUGGUUAACUUUAAUUGAAUUUGAACUGCCACCUAGAAUAGACAAGAAAAUGAAACACAAUUCUGCAUGGAUGUCAGAAACAUGAAAUAUAAAGUGUAAUAAAUAAAAAUAUUAAAAACCCCUUAGCAAAUGUU
Long non-coding RNA from Pongo pygmaeus (Bornean orangutan), 2892 nucleotides. RefSeq lists it as uncharacterized. The transcript is spliced from 3 exons. The record is from RefSeq and is a predicted model, not a curated record. NCBI's taxonomy places the organism in Eukaryota, Metazoa, Chordata, Mammalia, Primates, Hominidae.